AGCGAACGCUGGCGGCAGGCUUAACACAUGCAAGUCGAGCGGGCGUAGCAAUACGUCAGCGGCAGACGGGUGAGUAACGCGUGGGAACGUACCUUUUGGUUCGGAACAACACAGGGAAACUUGUGCUAAUACCGGAUAAGCCCUUACGGGGAAAGAUUUAUCGCCGAAAGAUCAGCCCGCGUCUGAUUAGCUAGUUGGUAGGGUAAUGGCCUACCAAGGCGACGACCAGUAGCUGGUCUGAGAGGAUGAUCAGCCACAUUGGGACUGAGACACGGCCCAAACUCCUACGGGAGGCAGCAGUGGGGAAUAUUGGACAAUGGGGGCAACCCUGAUCCAGCCAUGCCGCAUGAGUGAUGAAGGCCCUAGGGUUGUAAAGCUCUUUUGUGCGGGAAGAUAAUGACGGUACCGCAAGAAUAAGCCCCGGCUAACUUCGUGCAAGCAGCCGCCGUAA
This 451-nucleotide ribosomal RNA is filed under the name uncultured bacterium. Its description in RNAcentral is "partial 16S ribosomal RNA". It matches the Rfam family "Bacterial small subunit ribosomal RNA", at positions 29 to 523 of the family's 1533-position model. The record is from RNAcentral.